Non-coding RNA from Phalacrocorax carbo (great cormorant), 435 nucleotides. NCBI's taxonomy places the organism in Eukaryota, Metazoa, Chordata, Aves, Suliformes, Phalacrocoracidae. The record is from RefSeq and is a predicted model, not a curated record.
ACAAUAUUAACUCUUUCUGUUUUUUCCUGAUUUUUUUCAGUUGUAAUGACUAGAAAAUGGGAUUCUCCCUCCUCUAUAUGGCUCCCAAGAGAGAUUUCAUUUUCUGGGAUAACUGGACCCACUGUGGGAGGCAGCUCAUCGUGGGAGCUACAUGGCCCUGGUAAUGCGAUGUCACCUCCCUCCACAAAGAUGUGGAUCAGUUAAAGGGAGCCCAGGAAAGUGGACAGAGAAUGAUCAGAGUUUUUAAAGAGACAUGUAACUACCUUGGAAAUACCUGGGCCAACAGACAUGGGAAGAAAACAGAAAAGAGAAGAGCAACUGGUUUCUGGCCUGUUUGUGUAGCAGUCCCAUUAUGUAGCCUGCUUGUGCAGACCUCUUUACGAAAUGUACGUACAUUUGCAACACUUUAGUUGAAUAAUUUAUCAAUGGUUAAUA